GACCUCUAAUCGGAAAAGACUACCCGCUGAGUUUAA
Molecule: ribosomal RNA, 36 nt
Filed under: Bryum argenteum
Lineage: Eukaryota; Viridiplantae; Streptophyta; Bryopsida; Bryales; Bryaceae
Also listed under: 1 other name
Description: partial 26S ribosomal RNA
Source: RNAcentral